UACGAAGGGGGCUAGCGUUGCUCGGAAUCACUGGGCGUAAAGGGUGCGUAGGCGGGUCUUUAAGUCAGGGGGGAAAUCCUGGAGCUCAACUCCAGAACUGCCUUUGAUACUGAGGAUCUUGAGUUCGGAAGAGGUGAGUGGAACUGCGAGUGUAGAGGUGAAAUUCGUAGAUAUUCGCAAGAACACCAGUGGCGAAGGCGGCUCACUGGUCCGAUACUGACGCUGAGGCACGAAAGCGUGGGGAGCAAACAGG
This 253-nucleotide ribosomal RNA is filed under the name uncultured bacterium. Its description in RNAcentral is "partial 16S ribosomal RNA". It matches the Rfam family "Bacterial small subunit ribosomal RNA", at positions 524 to 776 of the family's 1533-position model. The record is from RNAcentral.